Molecule: small RNA, 117 nt
Filed under: Marmota monax (woodchuck)
Lineage: Eukaryota; Metazoa; Chordata; Mammalia; Rodentia; Sciuridae
Source: RNAcentral
GCUGGGUGCAGUCGUGCACACCUGGAGUCCCUGCUACUUGUAAGGCUGAGGCAGGAGGUUCACUUGAGUCCAGGAGUUCGGGACCAGCCUGGGCAACACAAUGAGACCUGGUCUCAA